This 204-nucleotide ribosomal RNA is filed under the name uncultured Latescibacterota bacterium. RNAcentral's name for it is "uncultured Latescibacteria bacterium partial 16S ribosomal RNA". It matches the Rfam family "Bacterial small subunit ribosomal RNA", at positions 1182 to 1382 of the family's 1533-position model. Lineage: Bacteria; Pseudomonadati; Candidatus Latescibacterota. The record is from RNAcentral.
ACGUCAAGUCCUCAUCGGCCCUUACAUCCCGGGCUACACACGUGCUACAAUGGCAGGUACAGAGGGCUGCGAAGCCGCGAGGUGGAGCGAAUCCCAGAAAACCUGUCUCAGUCCGGAUUGAAGUCUGCAACUCGACUUCAUGAAGGCGGAAUCGCUAGUAACCGCGAAUCAGCAGGUCGCGGUGAAUUACCGUUCCCGGGCCUU